CGCGCAGGCGGUUUGGUAAGUCAGAUGUGAAAGCCCGGGGCUUAACCCCGGAAGUGCAUUUGAUACUGCCAAACUUGAGUAUGGGAGAGGGAAGUGGAAUUCCUGGUGUAGAGGUGAAAUUCGUAGAUACCAGGAGGAACACCGGUGGCGAAGGCGACUUCCUGGACCAAUACUGACGCUGAGGCGCGAAGGCGUGGGGAGCAAACA
RNAcentral lists this ribosomal RNA (207 nucleotides) under uncultured bacterium. Its description in RNAcentral is "partial 16S ribosomal RNA". It matches the Rfam family "Bacterial small subunit ribosomal RNA", at positions 568 to 774 of the family's 1533-position model. The record is from RNAcentral.